UGUGUAACCCUGGUAUCCUCGAACU
Molecule: non-coding RNA, 25 nt
Filed under: Rattus norvegicus (Norway rat)
Lineage: Eukaryota; Metazoa; Chordata; Mammalia; Rodentia; Muridae
Source: RNAcentral